AUGCCACCCAGACUGCGGGCGUGCUUGGGGCACGGGGACGAGCCAGGGGAUGAGCCAGGGGACCCCCUGCCCGUGCGCAGCAGGUCAGGCCCCCAAGCAAAGCCAGCAGCCCUCAACGGCUCCCUGGGGGCCGCAAGGAAGGAGCUGGGGGCGGUCGCAGCCACGGGCCUGUGCUGGGAGGCGUCGUGCCCAGGUGCGGGGGCCCUGCGGCCGCCCGCGGCUCCCUCCCGGCCCGCAAAGAGCAGCGGGCUCCGAAAGAGAGGGCGAAGCCCGGGACGGAGCGGUGCCACCCCCGGGCGUGGGGGGCCAGACCCCGGGCUGGGGGGAGCCGCCCGGCCGCGGCUGGGGCUGCGGGGCCGCCUCCGGGGCACCCUCCCGCUGCGCUGGGGACGGGGACGGAGCGGGAUGGCGGCCGCCCCGGCCCGCCCGCACUCACCCGGCCCCGCUCCGCGCCGCUCCGCCACCGCUCCGCCACCGCGUGCGGCCGCCCCUCGGCGGGGCCGGGCGGGGCGGGGCGGGGCGAGGCAGGGGGCGGGAGCGGGAGCCGGGGGCGCCCCGACCCCAGCGCCACGGCCGGGACCCCGCAGGACGCCGCCGUCGCGGCUCGGACUCCGUGCCCGGGCCCCACGGGCAGCCCGGCUCCAGCAGGGGGUUGGACGCGGGACGGGGAGCCCCGGGGGUGGCGGGGACCGGGCUCCCGAAGGAGCUCCCGCGUGCGCCCAGGGACUGCGUUCCCAGAGGAUGCCGCAUCCCGGGUACCACGCCCGGGUUCCCAGAGGAUGCCCCAUCCCAAGCACCCAACUUGGAGACGCUCCCAUGAUCAGCUCCAGCUCCGCGCGCGGAACUCCCUGGGGACCUUUUCCAGGCUUCACCACGCAGCCUAAAGAGGUUGAUUCACCCUUAAAAUGCCCCAAACGCUGCGAUAUUGUGUCACAUCCAUGCACGCACCAUACCAUGCCCUUCUGUUUCUGGGACGGUGCGGGGCUGUGUGCUGUCAGCACAGCCAGGCCAGCAUCCUGUCCACAGCUGUGGGAUCCUGCCUGGAUCCAAAACCACCCACGAGAUGGGGAUUUAAGAGGAAAUAAAAAUUAA
This 1092-nucleotide long non-coding RNA is filed under the name Anser brachyrhynchus (Pink-footed goose). RNAcentral's name for it is "lncRNA (ENSABRG00000011543.1)". Lineage: Eukaryota; Metazoa; Chordata; Aves; Anseriformes; Anatidae. The record is from RNAcentral.